AUUCGAUGCAACGCGAAGAACCUUACCUGGACUUGACAUAUAGCUGCAUCCGACCUGAAAGGGACGGAGCCUUCGAGGGUGCUAUACAGGUGCUGCAUGGCUGUCGUCAGCUCGUGCCGUGAGGUGUUGGGUUAAGUCCCGCAACGAGCGCAACCCUUGUGUUUAGUUGCCAGCACGUAAUGGUGGGAACUCUAAACAGACUGCUGGUGAAAACCAGAGGAAGGUGGGGAUGACGUCAAGUCAGUAUGGUCCUUAUGUCCAGGGCUGCACACGUGCUACAAUGGGCGACACAAUAGGAAGCCAAACCGCGAGGUGGAGCAAAUCCUCAAAAUCGUCCCCAGUUCGGAUUGGAGUCUGAAACUCGACUCCAUGAAGUUGGAAUCGCUAGUAAAGGUGUAUCAGCUACGACACCUUGAAUACGUUCCCGGGUCUUGUACACACCGCCCGUCACAUCAUGGAAGUGGGUUGCACCCGAAGUCGCUGAUCCAACCUUUUACUAGGAGGAAGGCGCCUAAGGUGUGAUUGAUAACUGGGAUGAAGUCGUAAC
This 547-nucleotide ribosomal RNA is filed under the name uncultured Verrucomicrobiota bacterium. RNAcentral describes it as "bacterial SSU rRNA". It matches the Rfam family "Bacterial small subunit ribosomal RNA", at positions 949 to 1492 of the family's 1533-position model. Lineage: Bacteria; Pseudomonadati; Verrucomicrobiota. The record is from RNAcentral.